This is a long non-coding RNA of Pecten maximus, 834 nucleotides long. RefSeq lists it as uncharacterized. NCBI's taxonomy places the organism in Eukaryota, Metazoa, Mollusca, Bivalvia, Pectinida, Pectinidae. The transcript has 2 exons. The record is from RefSeq and is a predicted model, not a curated record.
GGAUUACAUUUGGGACCUGUCUCGGAACAAUGUAGCAUGGUAAUACAACACGCGUACAGGCAAUGUACGUACGCUUAACACACACCGGUAUAAACUCAUUAAAACGGAAUUCCAUAGGUGUUAGUACACCGGUAAAAACUCAUUAAAACGGAAUUCCCUAGGUGUAAGUAUAGUACCUGGAUACAUGUUAGGAGGAACAUCAAUAAUGACAAUGAAACAGCACAGCACAGUAAACACUUGGUGUUAGUGGCUAACGAGAACAUGACAGGAUAACGUUCCUGUUUGCAAAGAACCAGAAAAAACUGCUCUAUAUCAGAAGCAAAAUGGUUGGUGGGGAUGUUUAAUGUAUAUUGGUAACGAUUAGCCUUAAACUUAAGAAGCAAAUAAAAAGUGGUACCUAUAAAAAUGGGGAAAAUUAUAGUAUUCGCAAAACUACAUUUACGGCUCUGAUAGAAAAUUUUACAACGAUCCAUUUGAAACUCCGACAUCUCACCAGUUAGUAUGGCUUUAAGAAUUAGAUAUAAACUACAGUUCGUAUGUUGAAACGGAGCGUCCGAAUCAGGUCGUUCAGCCAAUUGAAUAAUAUAUGAAAUGGUAACUCAUGUGAGAUACUAUAUGUAUUGGCAUGAUCAUAGCUGCAUCUUAUUUUAUGUUUCAAAAUGAACCAUGGCAAAAAUGAAAAAAGUGAUACUAUAUUCGAAACAGCUUUAUUGGAAACGAAAUACAAAAUUAGUUCAGUGGUAAUUUUUUUGUCUCUAGAUUUGGUGUUGAAAUUAAUAUUCAAUGAUUGCAAAUCGUGUUUAUUAUCAAGAGAGAAGUACAUGAUAGAGUACA